GAUGAAGAACGCAGCAAAAUGCGAUACUUGGUGUGAAUUGCAGAAUCCCGUGAACCAUCGAGUUUUUGAACGCAAGUUGCGCCCGAAGCCUUUUCGCCGAGGGCACGUCUGCCUGGGCGUCACGCAUCGCGUCGCCCCCCACAAUUCUCCGUAAAGGGAACGUGUGUUUUGGGGGCGGAUAUUGGUCUCCCGUGCUCAUGGCGUGGUUGGCCGAAAUAGGAGUCCUUUCGAUGGACGCACGAACUAGUGGUGGUCGUAAAAACCCUCGUCUUUUGUUUCGUGCUGUUGCUCGCAAGGUAAACUCUUUAAAAACCCCAAUGUGUCGUCUCUUGACGACGCUUCGACCGCGACCCCAGGUCAGGCGGGACUACCCGCUGAGUUUAAGCAUAUCAAUAAGCGGAGGA
This 404-nucleotide unclassified non-coding RNA is filed under the name soil metagenome. Its description in RNAcentral is "partial contains 5.8S ribosomal RNA, internal transcribed spacer 2, and large subunit ribosomal RNA". The stretch from base 1 to 122 matches the Rfam family "5.8S ribosomal RNA", at positions 35 to 154 of the family's 154-position model. The record is from RNAcentral.